CAACGUGGAUAACCUUCCUUCAGGUGGGGAAUAACCCCGCGAAAGCGGGGCUAAUACCGCAUAACAUGACGAUGGCACAUGCUGUUGUCCUCAAAGCCGCAAGGCGCCAGAAGAGGGAUCCGCGGCCGAUUAGCUUGUUGGCGAGGUAAUGGCUCACCAAGGCAUUGAUCGGUAGCCGGACUGAGAGGUUGGCCGGCCACACUGGAACUGAGACACGGUCCAG
RNAcentral lists this ribosomal RNA (223 nucleotides) under uncultured bacterium. RNAcentral describes it as "partial 16S ribosomal RNA". It matches the Rfam family "Bacterial small subunit ribosomal RNA", at positions 113 to 334 of the family's 1533-position model. The record is from RNAcentral.